RNAcentral lists this ribosomal RNA (489 nucleotides) under uncultured bacterium. RNAcentral's name for it is "partial 16S ribosomal RNA". It matches the Rfam family "Bacterial small subunit ribosomal RNA", at positions 899 to 1397 of the family's 1533-position model. The record is from RNAcentral.
ACUCAAAGGAAUAGACGGGGGCCCGCACAAGCAGCGGAGCGUGUGGUUUAAUUCGAGGCUACACGAAGAACCUUACCUGGGUUCGACAGGACGCCAGUAGGGCGUCGAAAGGCAACCGACCCGCAAGGGAAGCGUCCCAGGUGCUGCAUGGCUGUCGUCAGCUCGUGCCGUGAGGUGUUAGGUUAAGUCCUGUAACGAGCGCAACCCCCAGGUCUAGUUACACGUUGUCUAGACCGACUGCCCGUGACAAGCGGGAGGAAGGUGGGGAUGACGUCAAGUCAGCAUGGCCUUUAUAUCCAGGGCUACACACACGCUACAAUGGCCGGUACAAUGGGUCGCCAAGCCGCAAGGCGGAGCCAAUCCAUACCAAAGCCGGUCUCAGUUCGGAUUGGGGGCUGCAACCCGCCCCCAUGAAGUCGGAGUUGCUAGUAACCGCGGGUCAGCCAUACCGCGGUGAAUACGUUCCCGGGCCUUGUACACACCGCCCGU